This is a non-coding RNA of Podarcis lilfordi (Lilford's wall lizard), 166 nucleotides long. The record is from the annotation of a GenBank genome assembly. NCBI's taxonomy places the organism in Eukaryota, Metazoa, Chordata, Lepidosauria, Squamata, Lacertidae.
UAGAGACCAACUAAAUUCUUGGUACAAGCUUUCUUGUGCAUGCACACUUCUUCAGAUACACUGAAACAGAAGUCACCAGACCCUUAUAUAUAGUGAUUUCAGUUCCAGUGUAUCUGAAGAAGUGUGCAUGCACACGAAAGCUUAUACCAAGAACAAACUUAGUUGG